This 414-nucleotide unclassified non-coding RNA is filed under the name Hevea brasiliensis (rubber tree). Lineage: Eukaryota; Viridiplantae; Streptophyta; Magnoliopsida; Malpighiales; Euphorbiaceae. The record is from RNAcentral.
AAAAGGGAAUAAAAAAUAGUUCCCAAGUAUUUGAGCACUCUUCUUAAAUACAUUAUCACUUUCUUAAUAAUGGUAAAGAUGUCAAGUUAGACUGUUAGACUAGACAUUUCAUUCAAACCUAUCUACGGAUACAUAGCAACCAAGAAUGACAAUCAAUCUUCGUAAGAAAUAUGUAUAAAUAUGUACAAAACCAUAAAAAACUAUCAACAUCGGUAACUGGGGCAAACACACCACAGUACUAAUGCUAAACAGUACAGAAUAGAAGCUAGGAAAACCCAAACUAAGGUCAAAGAAGCAAAAGCAAUAGCAACAACUUAGUUUUAAACUGUUAUGACAAACUGAAAAUCAGGUUUGCCAUUUUGCUAAAUGAAAAGUAUAAUUAAAAGAAUUUCAUUCCACACAAGUAUACUUCUG